This is a non-coding RNA of Anolis sagrei ordinatus, 350 nucleotides long. Lineage: Eukaryota; Metazoa; Chordata; Lepidosauria; Squamata; Anolidae. The record is from RefSeq and is a predicted model, not a curated record.
UCUCUCUAGUUCUUAUGACAUCAAGGUUGGGCUUAAAAAUGAGUAGGUUCCAAAGCUUGCUAGUCCACUUACCAGCAAAUCUCCAGUUGGAUGGGUGUUCUUCCUUGCCUUUUCAGCAAGGACUGUCAAAGGUCCUAUCAAUCAUGCUGCAAAUCCUUGUUUGGAGAAGUAUUCAGUCUAGCUGACCUAAAUGGAUUCCUUGUGUGAUCUUUCAGCGUUGGUGUGUGGAGCAAUGUAAUUCCCAAAUACACAUCUCUACCUGACAGCCCCCAGCUUGGUACCGAAUCCAGAAGCUAUUCAAGAGAUUAUGAUUAUGUCCCUGUCUUUAUAAAUAAACAGAAAAUAAUAAA